RNAcentral lists this ribosomal RNA (253 nucleotides) under uncultured bacterium. RNAcentral describes it as "partial 16S ribosomal RNA". It matches the Rfam family "Bacterial small subunit ribosomal RNA", at positions 524 to 776 of the family's 1533-position model. The record is from RNAcentral.
UACGUAGGGUGCAAGCGUUGUCCGGAAUUAUUGGGCGUAAAGGGCUCGUAGGCGGUCCAUCACGUCGGGUGUGAAAAGCUGGGGCUUAACCCCAGUCCUGCUUCCGAUACGGGUGGACUAGAGGUAGGCAGGGGAGAACGGAAUUCCUGGUGUAGCGGUGAAAUGCGCAGAUAUCAGGAGGAACACCGGUGGCGAAGGCGGAUCUCUGGGCCAUUACUGACGCUGAGGAGCGAAAGCGUGGGGAGCGAACAGG